UUAGCGGCGGACGGGUGAGUAAUGCUUAGGAAUCUGCCUAUUAGUGGGGGACAACAUUCCGAAAGGAAUGCUAAUACCGCAUACGUCCUACGGGAGAAAGCAGGGGAUCUUCGGACCUUGCGCUAAUAGAUGAGCCUAAGUCGGAUUAGCUAGUUGGUGGGGUAAAGGCCUACCAAGGCGACGAUCUGUAGCGGGUCUGAGAGGAUGAUCCGCCACACUGGGACUGAGACACGGCCCAGACUCCUACGGGAGGCAGCAGUGGGGAAUAUUGGACAAUGGGGGGAACCCUGAUCCAGCCAUGCCGCGUGUGUGAAGAAGGCCUUAUGGUUGUAAAGCACUUUAAGCGAGGAGGAGGCUACUGAGACUAAUACUCUUGGAUAGUGGACGUUACUCGCAGAAUAAGCACCGGCUAACUCUGUGCCAGCAGCCGCGGUAAUACAGAGGGUGCGAGCGUUAAUCGGAUUUACUGGGCGUAAAGCGUGCGUAGGCGGCUUUUUAAGUCGGAUGUGAAAUCCCCGAGCUUAACUUGGGAAUUGCAUUCGAUACUGGGAAGCUAGAGUAUGGGAGAGGAUGGUAGAAUUCCAGGUGUAGCGGUGAAAUGCGUAGAGAUCUGGAGGAAUACCGAUGGCGAAGGCAGCCAUCUGGCCUAAUACUGACGCUGAGGUACGAAAGCAUGGGGAGCAAACAGGAUUAGAUACCCUGGUAGUCCAUGCCGUAAACGAUGUCUACUAGCCGUUGGGGCCUUUGAGGCUUUAGUGGCGCAGCUAACGCGAUAAGUAGACCGCCUGGGGAGUACGGUCGCAA
This 804-nucleotide ribosomal RNA is filed under the name uncultured Acinetobacter sp. Its description in RNAcentral is "bacterial SSU rRNA". It matches the Rfam family "Bacterial small subunit ribosomal RNA", at positions 92 to 891 of the family's 1533-position model. Lineage: Bacteria; Pseudomonadati; Pseudomonadota; Gammaproteobacteria; Moraxellales; Moraxellaceae. The record is from RNAcentral.